AUAAUAAAAGAAAAAAACUAAACUACCCUUAUCUAAAUAACAAAAUCCAACCCUCUUUUAGAUCUCUCCCUUCUCAUUUCACUAAAAACCAAAAUCCUAGCAGAGCUUUUUUCCCAAAUUCAAGAAAGCUCCACCAGUGUCGGUGUCACCUCGCCUUCGAUUUAGGUUUGCACGACCACUGCGCACGUCAUUCUAGAGUGACGAAGAACGAAGAAGAAUGACGAUGGCAAUGGUGAACUGCCUUGCGAACUGAGAGCCAAACCAAACAGUGAAAAACUUGAUUUUCAGGUUCCUUCAAAGUCUCCCAUUCAGAUUUGGCUCUUUGAACAAAAAGAUUUGAGGAUUGAAGGCCGUAUCAU
This is a non-coding RNA of Arachis ipaensis, 359 nucleotides long. The record is from RefSeq and is a predicted model, not a curated record. NCBI's taxonomy places the organism in Eukaryota, Viridiplantae, Streptophyta, Magnoliopsida, Fabales, Fabaceae.